UCCACCUACACAGAAAUCCCCUUGUCCUCUACACCAAUAAAGGGCCCAGGAUUGGGACCUCGCAAGAGACCUCGACUGGAGUUGGAGGAGGAACAAGCAGAGACGUCGACAGAAUUUGAGGAGACUCUGGGUUCGAGUUACCACCCUGAUGAUACUGUAGAAGAAUGCGACGUAUCGUAUCACUAAUCCUAGGAUAAUGUUUGUCCAAGAAACUUCUGAAACUUACACAGAACAAGGACUGUGACACGAAGUUGAAGAGGUGGCUGCGCAGCAUAAAAAACCACGUCUACUGGAGUGCGACGAGCACAACCUCGGGGCCGGAGAAGGUGGCAAGGUGGACGUCACUGGUCAACCACCUACAAAACGUUCACGUGCAUGAUGACCCCCUGUUCCCCAAGUGCACACAUCCUGUAGGAGCCGCAAGUGAUGCAAAUAAACCUUACCUAAAAGGUGGCUCAAUAACACUCGCCAGAGUUGAAACGAUACUCACCAACAAGAGAGUUCUCAAAGAUGUGCUAAAGCUAAGCCAUCACUACCAGACCUCAUCCCUGGAGUCCUUCCACAACUUAAUUCUGCGUUUUACCCCAAAAAAUGUGGUUUUCCCCUUCAUUUGAAUGUUGUGCAGGUCGUGUCUAGCAGCAAUGCAUCACAACGAGAAUGCUGGGCGUGACCAAGCGACAACUGCUGCAGGAAAACUUGUCUUCAAAUUGGCUUAUCCAAAAUCAAAGAGGGGAGAGUGUACGGUCAAGCCUGUUAAGAACGACCCUACAUACAUCUAUGUGGAUGAGCUGACGAGGCUUGUGUUUCACAAAGUCUUUCUGGACCCUAUACCCUUUGUGGACGAGCU
Gymnodraco acuticeps is the source of this 847-nucleotide long non-coding RNA. RefSeq lists it as uncharacterized. NCBI's taxonomy places the organism in Eukaryota, Metazoa, Chordata, Actinopteri, Perciformes, Bathydraconidae. The record is from RefSeq and is a predicted model, not a curated record. The transcript is spliced from 5 exons.